Molecule: long non-coding RNA, 883 nt
Organism: Mastomys coucha (southern multimammate mouse)
Lineage: Eukaryota; Metazoa; Chordata; Mammalia; Rodentia; Muridae
Exons: 3
Source: RefSeq, a predicted model, not a curated record
ACCAGAUCAGGGGCCCCGCCCUAGGUUGAGGCCAGGGUGGGGGUGGAGUGGGGCAGCCACACAGCCACAGUCGGGGAAACCUUGGACCUAAGAACUCUAGAAAGAGGCCAUCUGAGUAUGUACCACCUCACGGAUGCACAAGAGCUGUCCCCUCCGCCCAGGAUGCUGGUCCCUGAGACACCUAGCGACCUGUCACUGCUGUGAAGAAGGGGUCUACAGGAACCUCGUCUUCACACCACACCAUGGUAACUGUGCCUAUGGCCACAGGGACCAAGAUGGAAGACUGAGUCCACCCUCACCUCUGCCUGGUCCUGUUCCCCCAACCAACCCUGCAGUCGAUGCAGACUGGACUCAGACCUCCAACCCUAUCUUCUGCAGCCCUCUUCUGGCCCCCUUCCUCCCUGGCCCAACUCUUUCUUCCCCAGCCUGGGCCACCCUCUGCUGAACCCGGCUCUGGUCCUGUUUGCCUACCCCAUUGCCAGUCCUUGACUCAGCCAUUCCUGUUUCCUGGUUGGAAGCCAGUGGCCCACUCAAAAUAACUAGUCCCUUUCCCUGGGUCAGAGAACAGCUGCAAGGGAUUAGGGGAAGGACUGGAACAAGAGAACCCCCACCCACAGCCCCACGCCCACGGAGCUACAGCAGGUGGCUGGGCCUGUGGCUGCCAUCUCUCUGAGUCCAGAACAGCCUUGUUCCCCAAAUGAGACCUUCUCCCAUUUAUCGGGAGAAGAAAGAAGGCAGAGACUAUGGCGUGUGGCCUCCCCCACCCCACAGCACCCAAGCCUGCCCACCUGUGGCUCUAACUAAACCAUUUUAUGCAGCUCAGAAAUCUAAUGUCAAGGACUAGGUCUGUUCUGCCAAACAAAAGAUGUCUCUGUACUACUAA